CCUGGAGUUGGGCGGGGUGGGAGUAAGGUGCCCCGCUACCGCUUCGCCCUCCCAAGCCAGGAGCCACCACCGCAGGUCAGUGCAUCUGGGGCCUUCCCUUGGAGCGCCAGUUCCUCUCGAGGCACCCCCAGGACCCUUUCCAAAGCCCUGAAAUCUGCCCCCGCCCACACGGGAACUCCGGGACUUCCCUUCCCAGGCCUGGUCUGCGCCCGGCCCGCGCGUGUACCCGCCCCUGCUGAACCCCGUCUGCGGGUGGAAAGCGGAGAUGGCCCUGAAGCUGGCUCCCUGCCCCCGGCCACCCACCCCGCACGGGGCCGGGAAGCGGCUGUUUGUUUUCCCGGCGCCCGGGAUACGGACGGGCCCCGCCCCAGGCCUGCUGCCCGGCGGUGCGAGGCGGAGGGGCCGCGGCCGCCACCAUCUGUCCACAGGUGCUGCAGGCUCUGAGCGCCCCCGCCCGCGUCAUGGGCUCGGACUACUGGGUCGGCCCUUGGCGGCCGCACCGGCCCCGUGGCCCCAUCGCGGCGCUCUAUAGAGGACCGGGGCCCAAAUACAAGCUGCCGCCGAACACCGGCUACAUCCUGCACGACCCCUCGCGGCCCCGCGCCCCCGCCUACACCUUCGGUGCGCGCCUCCCUACGCAGCAGUCCACCUGCGGCCCGGGGCCCAGCCACCUGGUGCCCGCCCGCAUGACCGCGCGCGGCCCGGACAGCGCGCCCGCCUACUCCAUCUGCGGCCGCCUGCGGCACUCGGCGCCCUUCCGCACUCCCGGACCGGGUCAGGACCCCUGGGACCCUGGCCUCCCCAACGCCAAGCUCCCUCCGGGGAGGCCCAUCUGGGAACCCCGCGCAACUGAACCCCGAAUCUCCCUCUGUUCCCUAACACCUCGUAUUCCGGACCUCGAGUCCAGAUCCCCGAGCCCCACAGGCUUUGGCCGUGGUUCUGAUUCCCCAGCUCCAAGACCCGGACCCGGGUCCACCACGCCCCCAUCCGGUCCUGGCCCACACCCUCGGUCUGUCCCGCAGGCCGGUAUUUCCCAGAACGAGCCGGCAACGCCACGUACCCCAGUGCGCCGCGUCAUACCAUUGCCCCGCGAAACUGGGGUGUCCGCGCGGAGCAGCAGAGCCCAGGUCCGGGAGCCUACUCUGUGCCCGCGCUCUUGGGCCCACGCGUCGUCGGCAAAGUCUCGGCCCCAACCUACUCCAUCUACGGCCGCAGCACAGUGGGCAGCUGCUUCCAGGACCUUAGCAAGACCCCCGGCCCCUGCGCCUACCAUGUGGUGAACCCCGGGGUCUACAAGACCCGCGCGCCCCAGUUCACGAUGCUGGCGCGAACGUCGCUCCCCCAAGACAGCACUCUGAAGCCGGGACCCGCGGCCUACCACGUGGACCAGCACCGGAAGCCUCGCGGCUGGACCUUCGGGAUCCGGCAUUCAGACUACCUGGCCCCGAUGGUGACGGACGUGGACGACUGACCCGCGGGCGGGGUGGGGGCUCGGGCCCCCUGUAGUGCGCUUAAAGCUUCCGGAGUCAGC
Molecule: RNA transcript, 1531 nt
Organism: Sciurus carolinensis (gray squirrel)
Lineage: Eukaryota; Metazoa; Chordata; Mammalia; Rodentia; Sciuridae
Gene: Cimap1b
Gene name: outer dense fiber of sperm tails 3B
Exons: 5
Source: RefSeq, a predicted model, not a curated record